UACGGGGGGGGCAAGCGUUGUCCGGAAUUAUUGGGCGUAAAGAGCUCGUAGGCGGUCUGUUACGUCUGCUGUGAAAACCCUGGGCUUAACCCUGGGCUUGCAGUGGAUACGGGCAGACUAGAGGCAGGUAGGGGAGAAUGGAAUUCCCGGUGUAGCGGUGAAAUGCGCAGAUAUCGGGAGGAACACCAAUGGCGAAGGCAGCACUCUGGGACGGUACUGACGCUGAGACGCGAAAGCGUGGGGAGCAAACAGG
This 253-nucleotide ribosomal RNA is filed under the name uncultured bacterium. Its description in RNAcentral is "partial 16S ribosomal RNA". It matches the Rfam family "Bacterial small subunit ribosomal RNA", at positions 524 to 776 of the family's 1533-position model. The record is from RNAcentral.